Molecule: long non-coding RNA, 267 nt
Organism: Gallus gallus (chicken)
Lineage: Eukaryota; Metazoa; Chordata; Aves; Galliformes; Phasianidae
Source: Ensembl
UAAAAACAGGAGUCAUUAUGAGAAGAAGCAGCAGCCCAGAAGAAAUCAGUGCAAGUGAAAUCUUGGUUGUCUUGAAAUCAAUUGUCAAUCUUCCACAACCUUCACAGAAGCUGGAUUUCCUCCAAAGAAAGCAUCUUCAGGUACUGGAUUACAGAUCCAGGGUACAUGGAAAUCCAAAUAUAUCAAGGCCCUCAACAGCUCAAGUCAGAGACUAGAGGGUAGCUGGGAUCUCUUGAGAUGAAACUACCGGUUCUUCUUAAUUACCAG